UGUUGGAGAAGAAUGGUCGGCAGAGUAACUGUGUCGGCGUGACGGUAUCCAACCAGAAAGCCACGGCUAACUACGUGCCAGCAGCCGCGGUAAUACGUAGGUGGCAAGCGUUAUCCGGAUUUAUUGGGCGUAAAGCGAGCGCAGGCGGUUUUUUAAGUCUGAUGUGAAAGCCCUCGGCUUAACCGAGGAAGCGCAUCGGAAACUGGGAAACUUGAGUGCAGAAGAGGACAGUGGAACUCCAUGUGUAGCGGUGAAAUGCGUAGAUAUAUGGAAGAACACCAGUGGCGAAGGCGGCUGUCUGGUCUGUAACUGACGCUGAGGCUCGAAAGCAUGGGUAGCGAACAGGAUUAGAUACCCUGGUAGUCCAUGCCGUAAACGAUGAAUGCUAGGUGUUGGAGGGUUUCCGCCCUUCAGUGCCGCAGCUAACGCAUUAAGCAUUCCGCCUGGGGAGUACGACCGCAAGGUUGAAACUCAAAGGAAUUGACGGGGGCCCGCACAAGCGGUGGAGCAUGUGGUUUAAUUCGAAGCAACGCGAAGAACCUUACCAGGUCUUGACAUCUUUUGAUCACCUGAGAGAUCAGGUUUCCCCUUCGGGGGCAAAAUGACAGGUGGUGCAUGGUUGUCGUCAGCUCGUGUCGUGAGAUGUUGGGUUAAGUCCCGCAACGAGCGCAACCCUUAUGACUAGUUGCCAGCAUUUAGUUGGGCACUCUAGUAAGACUGCCGGUGACAAACCGGAGGAAGGUGGGGAUGACGUCAAAUCAUCAUGCCCCUUAUGACCUGGGCUACACACGUGCUACAAUGGAUGGUACAACGAGUUGCGAGACCGCGAGGUCAAGCUAAUCUCUUAAAGCCAUUCUCAGUUCGGACUGUAGGCUGCAACUCGCCUACACGAAGUCGGAAUCGCUAGUAAUCGCGGAUCAGCACGCCGCGGUGAAUACGUUCCCGGGCCUUGUACACACCGCCCGUCACACCAUGAGAGUUUGUAACACCCGAAGCCGGUGGCGUAACCCUUUAGGGAGCGAGCCGUCUAAGGUGACAGAUUGG
RNAcentral lists this ribosomal RNA (1044 nucleotides) under Lacticaseibacillus casei. RNAcentral's name for it is "bacterial SSU rRNA". It matches the Rfam family "Bacterial small subunit ribosomal RNA", at positions 434 to 1475 of the family's 1533-position model. The record is from RNAcentral. Lineage: Bacteria; Bacillati; Bacillota; Bacilli; Lactobacillales; Lactobacillaceae.